Molecule: ribosomal RNA, 471 nt
Filed under: Achromobacter xylosoxidans
Lineage: Bacteria; Pseudomonadati; Pseudomonadota; Betaproteobacteria; Burkholderiales; Alcaligenaceae
Description: bacterial SSU rRNA
Rfam family: Bacterial small subunit ribosomal RNA
Source: RNAcentral
AUUGAACGCUAGCGGGAUGCCUUACACAUACAAGUCGAACAGCAGCACGGACUUCGGUCUGGUGGCGAGUGGCGAACGGGUGAGUAAUGUAUCGGAACGUGCCCAGUAGCGGGGGAUAACUACGCGAAAGCGUAGCUAAUACCGCAUACGCCCUACGGGGGAAAGCAGGGGAUCGCAAGACCUUGCACUAUUGGAGCGGCCGAUAUCGGAUUAGCUAGUUGGUGGGGUAACGGCUCACCAAGGCGACGAUCCGUAGCUGGUUUGAGAGGACGACCAGCCACACUGGGACUGAGACACGGCCCAGACUCCUACGGGAGGCAGCAGUGGGGAAUUUUGGACAAUGGGGGAAACCCUGAUCCAGCCAUCCCGCGUGUGCGAUGAAGGCCUUCGGGUUGUAAAGCACUUUUGGCAGGAAAGAAACGUCAUGGGUUAAUACCCCGUAAACUGACGGUACCUGCAGAAUAAGCCGGU